CCUACGGGGGGCUGCAGUAAGGAAUAUUGGUCAAUGGAGGAAACUCUGAACCAGCCAUCCCGCGUGAAGGAUGAAGGGGCUCUGCCUUGUAAACUUCUUUUGUCUGGGGCGAAAAAGCUCGAUUUAUCGAGAACUGACGGUACCAGAAGAAUAAGCACCGGCUAACUCAGUGCCAGCAGCCGCGGUAAUACGGAGGGUGCAGGAAUUAUGGGGAAUCACGGGGUUUUAGGCGGCUUUAGGCGGCUUAGGUGAAAGGCUGGGGCUUAACCAUGGAAUUGCCAUUGAUACUGCAGAGCUUGAAUGAGGUUGAGGUUGGCGGAAUGUGACAUGUAGCGGUGAAAUGCUUAGAUAUGUCAUGGAACACCGAUUGCGAAGGCAGCUGACUGGACCUAUAUUGACGCUGAGGCACGAAAGCGUGGGGAGCGAACAGGAUUAGAUACCCCUGUAGUC
This 450-nucleotide ribosomal RNA is filed under the name uncultured bacterium. RNAcentral's name for it is "partial 16S ribosomal RNA". It matches the Rfam family "Bacterial small subunit ribosomal RNA", at positions 338 to 795 of the family's 1533-position model. The record is from RNAcentral.